RNAcentral lists this long non-coding RNA (4389 nucleotides) under Nicotiana tabacum (common tobacco). Its description in RNAcentral is "long non-coding RNA (NTAB_LNC011312)". The record is from RNAcentral. Lineage: Eukaryota; Viridiplantae; Streptophyta; Magnoliopsida; Solanales; Solanaceae.
GAGGAGUCCACCAACUGAUGGUCUUCAAUUUGAAGGUUCUGGAAGCAGAGCGAGAAGAGCAUAACCACCGGAGCAGCAAACUGGGCAAAAUUUGGUGAACAAUUUUGCUUUUAGAGUGGAGUUUCCAUACUUUGAGGAAGGGGAUCCUCGAUCAUGGCUGCACAAAUAUGAAAGGUAUUUUCAUUACAAUCAUAUUACAGACCCACAACAGAAAUUAGAAUAUCUUCAUCUUAAUGGGAGGGCUAAGUAUUGGUACUUUUCUUAUCAAUUGAGUAGAGGGAUUGUGAGAUGGUCAAAUUUUAUUGAAGAAAUCUGUAAGAGAUUUAAUGAAUCUGAUAAUAGUAACUUGAAGUUGUUGGGGGAAUUUAAAAAGGUAGAAUAAAAGGGGACUGUCAAUGAAUUCCUAGAGAGGUUUGAAGAUUUGAAGGCCUGGUUAUUGAUAAAAUACCCAACUAUACCUGAAGAAUUCUUCCUAGGGCUCUUCAUUGAAGGUUUGAAAGAAGAUAUUAGACAUAUUGCGAAGAUUCUUGACCCAUAUUCCUUAAGUCAUGCUGUGGAAAAGGCUAGGCACAAGGAGAACUUGAUUGAUACCAUGGCCAAAAAGAACAAAUUCAAUGGUGUGAGGAGUGUAGGGCAGUAUCAAGGUUCUAAUCUAGCAGCAGGGAACAAAACUGUGGGAAACUCACAAAAAGAAGGUACUUCUAAUACAACUCUAUCAGGAACUAAGUUGUUUGAAGCUAGGAAAGCUAGGGGUGAAUGCUACAAAUAUGGAGAAAAGUAUUUCUCAGGCCAUGUGUGCAAGAAUAGACAGCUGAAUACAUUAUCUGGAAGUACUGAACAGGAGGAAGAAAUAACAGAGCUAAUUACAGAAGGUAAGGCUAUGCCUAAUGGGAUGAUGGAAGAGAUAUUAGAUGAGGCCAUCAGUCUCAAUGGACUUUCAGGCACCAUAACUUCUACUAUCAUUAAGCUUAGAGGGUUGUAUGGGAAGAAAAUGUUGACUAUAUUAGCAGACAGUAGAAACACCAAUAGUUUCAUAGCUAGUGAAACUGCCAAACACCUAGGGUGCAUAGUUGAAGAUGAUGCACCUAUGGGAGCAGUUGUGGCUAAUGGGGGCUACCUGAUGAGUUACCAAUCUUGUCCUCAAUUCAGUUGAAAGACUCAAGGGAUAAAUUUUGAACACAAGCUAAGAUUACUGGAUAUUGGGGGAUGUGAUGUGGUCUUGGGUGUGGAUUGGAUGAGGAAACAUAACGUCAUUCUGUUUGAAUUCAUUGAAUACAGGUUACAAGUGAGUGUGAAAGGGAAAAGGGUGGACCUUAAGGGAUAUUCUGAAGAAGGGAAGCUCAAUAGCAUGACAGCUGAUGGAGUAAAACAACUUCUCAAAAAAGGGAAGGUGCUGUGGGCUCAUUUAUUUACAAUUACUGCUAAGGAUGCUGAAAUACAUGGGGACAUACCUCAAAGGAUCAGUGGAGUGCUAGAGGAAUUUCUAGAUGUGUUUGAAGAACCAAAGACUUUGCUACCACAGAGGAGCCAUGAUCAUUCCAUUUCUCUCAAACUUAAUGUAACAACAGUGAGUAUCAGACCUUACAGGUAUAAUCACUUCCAGAAAAAUAAAAUAGAAAAGCAAGUCAAUGAAAUGUUAAAUAGUGUAAUUAUGCAGCCUAGUCAUUCUCCUUGUUCCUCACCUGUACUGCUAGUGAAGAAGAAGGAUGAAAGUUGGAGGUUCUGCAUUAAUUAUAGAGAGUUAAACAAGAUGACCAUAAAGGAUAAAUUUCCUAUUCCUUUAGUAGAUGAUUUGAUGGAUGAACUUAAAGGGUCUUGCAUAUAUUCCAAGAUUGAUCUAAGGGCUGGGUAUCAUCAAAUUAGGAUGGAGAGAUCUGACAUUUAUAAAACUACAUUUAGGACACAUCUGGGACACUAUGAGUUUAAAGUCAUUCCUUUUGGCUUGACAAAUGCCCCUGCAAACUUUCAGAAUCUGAUGAACCAUGUUUUCAGACCUAUUCUAAGAAAGUUUGUUAUAGUUUUAUUUGAUGACAUCUUAGUUUACAGUCCAACAGUGGACAGCCAUGUAGAUCAUCUCAAACAAGUCUUAUAAGUUUUAUAGAAGGAAAAACUCUAUGCUAAACUGUCCAAGUAUGCCUUUGGGCAAGAUAAGGUGGAGUAUUUGGGCCAUAUUAUCUCUCGUCAAUGAGUAGCUAUUGAUCCUGCCAAGAUAGACUCUAUAAUGUAUUGGCCUACACCUAAGUCAAUCAAGGCACUCAGGGGAUUUUUAGGUCUUACAGGUUACUACAGAAGAUUUGUGAAGUCCUAUGGCAUUAUUAGUAGGCCAUUAACCAACCUACUUAAGAAGAAUUCAUUCCAAUGGAAUGAUGAGGCAGAAGAGGCUUUUUCAGAAUCUGAAAUAUCCACAGCACAUGUACUAGCAUUGCCAGACUUCACCAAAACCUUUAUUGUAGAGACAGAUGCAUGCUCUACAGGAAUGGGAGCUGUACUAAUACAAGAGGGCAGAUCUAUAGCCUAUCUAAGUAAGGCUUUGACUACUAAGAAUAGGGGACUAUCCACCUAUGAAAAGGAGUACAUGGCAGUCUUAACAGCAGUGGAUAAAUGGAGACAUUACUUACAAUGUGGUCAUUUCAUUGUGAGAACAGAUCACUAGAGCCUUAAGUACUUAUUAGAGCAGAAAGUCACCACAGUGUUACAUCAAAAGGGCCUCACUAAACUUUUGGGGCUUGACUAUGAAAUUCAGUACAAGAAAGAUUCUGAAAACAGGGCAGUUGAUGCUCUAUCCAGGAGACAAGAAGAUUCUGACAACUCAACCUUAUUGGCUAUUUCCACUACACAGCCUGCUUGGCUAGAGGAAAUCAGUCAAUCCUAUAAAGGUGAUCCUAAGGUUACUCAGAUAUUGGCUGAACUAAUAGCAACUUCUCAGGGUAAUUCAGACUACACACUAUACAAAGGGAUAAUCAGGUGCAAACAGAAGAUAUAUGUAGGGAAGGGCAACACAUUGAGAAGGAAUGUGUGGGAAGCAUUGCAUCAAUCACCAUUGGGGGGACACUCAGGACAACAAGGUACUUACAAGAGGUUACAGAUGAACUUUUAUUGGUCAAAUAUGAAGACAGACAGUUGCAAAUGGGUCAGUGAAUGUGGCAUAUGCCAAAGGAUGAAAUCAGAGAAUGUGCAUUAUCUUAGGUUACUACAGCCUCUUCCUAUUCCUGAACAAGCAUGGCAGGAUAUCUCUAUGGAUUUUAUAGAAGGACUCAGAAGAAUGCAGUUUUGGUGGUGAUUGAUAGAUUUACUAAGUAUAGUCAUUUUUUGCCUCUUAAACAUCCUUUUACAGCACAAGAUGUAGCAGAAUUAUUUCUCAAGGAAAUUUAUAGAUUGCAUGGCAUUCCUAAAUCCAUAGUGUCUGACAGGGAUCCAGUUUUCACUAGCGACUUUUGGCAGCACCUUUUCAGAUCUAUGGGUACCAAACUCAAUUUAAGUUUAGCUUAUCACCCUAAGAGUUAUGGCCAAAUGGAGAGACUCAACAGGUGUAUGGAAACUUACCUAAGAGUUAUGGCCUUUGAUAAUCCUAAACAAUGGGUUAAGUGGCUUCACAUGGCAGAGUGGUGGUACAACACUAACUACCACAGUGCUCUAAAGAUCACAACUUUUGAAGCAUUAUAUGGGUAUGCACCUCCCGAACUACCACUGGGCUCACUACCUAGUUCUGGGCAGACUAUGGCAAGUAUGAGUUUAGCACAACGACAGCACAUGGUGCAGACACUUAAGGACAACCUAAUUCGAGCACAGUCACGCAUGAAAUUCUUUGCUGACAGAUCGAGAUCAGAAAGAACUUUGGAGAUUGGGGACCAGGUCUAUCUUAAGCUACAACCGUAUAGACAAUCAUCAAUAGAGGUUCGUAAGAAUGUUAAGUUUGUGUGCUCGUUAUAUUGGUCCUUACAAGAUAUUGAAGAAAAUUGGAACAGUAGCUUACCUAUUGGAGCUUCCUGAAGGCUCUCAACUUCACCCAGUAUUCCACGUUUCUUAGCUCAAGAAGAGAAUAGGUCCAAUGAUUGAACCUCAGCUUCAGCCACCCAUUUGUGAUGCCAACGGUCAAGUACUGAUACAGCCAGUGGGAAUAUUGCAGCGAAAAAUGGUAAAGAUUGAUAAUGGUGUGGAGUUAAAGUGUUAAUUCAGUGGGCAAAUCUUAAGGAAGAGGAUGCUACAUGGGAAGAUUGGGGGUAUAUCAAGCAUCAUUUUCCAGAUUUUGUGGCUCAACAGGCUCAACAUCGACCUUGAGGACAAGGUCAUUCUCGAAGGGAUAGGGAAUGUUAUGAAUUGGGAAGUAGGUGAAAGGGGAAAGUAGGUAAAGGCUGUGUAAUAAAGUGGGUUGGGCCACUAUAGACGGAC